AAAAAGAUAGCAUCACGGGCAAAGAAGGCAAGAAUUGGAGAAACUUCUGGAAGAAACUACUGGUAUGUCUGCUCCCUCUAUUCCCUCUGAACACAUUUUGGCUUCUUCUUCUAAUCCUCUCCCAACUCCACCCAUUUACACAACCUCUGAAAAUCCACCUUCUAUAACCAGAACUUCACAACCUCCACCAAAUGUUAAUCUUUCUCACACUACCACUUCCUCUUCAUCAUCUUCA
RNAcentral lists this long non-coding RNA (235 nucleotides) under Lathyrus oleraceus (garden pea). Its description in RNAcentral is "Pisum sativum (pea) long non-coding RNA (PSAT_LNC009939)". Lineage: Eukaryota; Viridiplantae; Streptophyta; Magnoliopsida; Fabales; Fabaceae. The record is from RNAcentral.